CCUCACAUCACCAGGUAAUAGACAUGACUAAGUACACAUGUCCUCUCAUGAUCUGUAUGUAAGGAAUGAAUUCAGUCACUGGAUGUGUUUCCUACAGUUAAGGAAGAGAGAAGAACACCGGAGAGAUGUCCCAGUCCUCUUCUUCCACAAGAUGGUUCAGAAGAACAUCACAAUGUCCCACAGGAUGAUCAGUUUGUGAAUCCGGGUGAAGAUCUGAACAUGAUAUAUGUUACAGAGACACAUGUGAGGGAUGAUGAGCAGAUUAUAGAGGACAUUCCUACAGAUAACCGCCCAGAUAACUGGACCAGGAUCUCAGAGGAACAUCUGAAAACUCCAUAUUUUAAAGCAGGCGAUCAUGGUGUCACAGAGAAUACAUAUGAAGAGCAUGCCAAUAUUCGAAAUGCACCUUCGACCUUUCACAGCAAAGAUCUAUCAUCUGAUCCUUUGGACCAAGUCCACUCUAAUGAUUCAUUAUGGACCAUUAGGCAAAAUAAAAGUCACAGAAAGAGUGUUCAACAUCAAAGAACUUACACAGGGAAUAAACCAUUUUCAUCUUCAAAAUGUAGGAAAUAUAGUGCUAAAUCAACUCUGGUUACACAUCAGAGUACUCACAC
Bufo bufo (common toad) is the source of this 614-nucleotide long non-coding RNA. RefSeq lists it as uncharacterized. The transcript is spliced from 3 exons. NCBI's taxonomy places the organism in Eukaryota, Metazoa, Chordata, Amphibia, Anura, Bufonidae. The record is from RefSeq and is a predicted model, not a curated record.